UUAAGCGACUAAGCGUACACGGUGGAUGCCCUGGCAGUCAGAGGCGAUGAAGGACGUGCUAAUCUGCGAUAAGCGUCGGUAAGGUGAUAUGAACCGUUAUAACCGGCGAUUUCCGAAUGGGGAAACCCAGUGUGUUUCGACACACUAUCAUUAACUGAAUCCAUAGGUUAAUGAGGCGAACCGGGGGAACUGAAACAUCUAAGUACCCCGAGGAAAAGAAAUCAACCGAGAUUCCCCCAGUAGCGGCGAGCGAACGGGGAGCAGCCCAGAGCCUGAAUCAGUGUGUGUGUUAGUGGAAGCGUCUGGAAAGGCGCGCGAUACAGGGUGACAGCCCCGUACACAAAAAUGCACAUACUGUGAGCUCGAUGAGUAGGGCGGGACACGUGGUAUCCUGUCUGAAUAUGGGGGGACCAUCCUCCAAGGCUAAAUACUCCUGACUGACCGAUAGUGAACCAGUACCGUGAGGGAAAGGCGAAAAGAACCCCGGCGAGGGGAGUGAAAAAGAACCUGAAACCGUGUACGUACAAGCAGUGGGAGCCUCUUUUAUGGGGUGACUGCGUACCUUUUGUAUAAUGGGUCAGCGACUUAUAUUCUGUAGCAAGGUUAACCGAAUAGGGGAGCCGAAGGGAAACCGAGUCUUAACCGGGCGUUAAGUUGCAGGGUAUAGACCCGAAACCCGGUGAUCUAGCCAUGGGCAGGUUGAAGGUUGGGUAACACUAACUGGAGGACCGAACCGACUAAUGUUGAAAAAUUAGCGGAUGACUUGUGGCUGGGGGUGAAAGGCCAAUCAAACCGGGAGAUAGCUGGUUCUCCCCGAAAGCUAUUUAGGUAGCGCCUCGUGAAUUCAUCUCCGGGGGUAGAGCACUGUUUCGGCAAGGGGGUCAUCCCGACUUACCAACCCGAUGCAAACUGCGAAUACCGGAGAAUGUUAUCACGGGAGACACACGGCGGGUGCUAACGUCCGUCGUGAAGAGGGAAACAACCCAGACCGCCAGCUAAGGUCCCAAAGUCAUGGUUAAGUGGGAAACGAUGUGGGAAGGCCCAGACAGCCAGGAUGUUGGCUUAGAAGCAGCCAUCAUUUAAAGAAAGCGUAAUAGCUCACUGGUCGAGUCGGCCUGCGCGGAAGAUGUAACGGGGCUAAACCAUGCACCGAAGCUGCGGCAGCGACACUGUGUGUUGUUGGGUAGGGGAGCGUUCUGUAAGCCUGUGAAGGUGUGCUGUGAGGCAUGCUGGAGGUAUCAGAAGUGCGAAUGCUGACAUAAGUAACGAUAAAGCGGGUGAAAAGCCCGCUCGCCGGAAGACCAAGGGUUCCUGUCCAACGUUAAUCGGGGCAGGGUGAGUCGACCCCUAAGGCGAGGCCGAAAGGCGUAGUCGAUGGGAAACAGGUUAAUAUUCCUGUACUUGGUGUUACUGCGAAGGGGGGACGGAGAAGGCUAUGUUGGCCGGGCGACGGUUGUCCCGGUUUAAGCGUGUAGGCUGGUUUUCCAGGCAAAUCCGGAAAAUCAAGGCUGAGGCGUGAUGACGAGGCACUACGGUGCUGAAGCAACAAAUGCCCUGCUUCCAGGAAAAGCCUCUAAGCAUCAGGUAACAUCAAAUCGUACCCCAAACCGACACAGGUGGUCAGGUAGAGAAUACCAAGGCGCUUGAGAGAACUCGGGUGAAGGAACUAGGCAAAAUGGUGCCGUAACUUCGGGAGAAGGCACGCUGAUAUGUAGGUGAAGUCCCUCGCGGAUGGAGCUGAAAUCAGUCGAAGAUACCAGCUGGCUGCAACUGUUUAUUAAAACACAGCACUGUGCAAACACGAAAGUGGACGUAUACGGUGUGACGCCUGCCCGGUGCCGGAAGGUUAAUUGAUGGGGUCAGCGCAAGCGAAGCUCUUGAUCGAAGCCCCGGUAAACGGCGGCCGUAACUAUAACGGUCCUAAGGUAGCGAAAUUCCUUGUCGGGUAAGUUCCGACCUGCACGAAUGGCGUAAUGAUGGCCAGGCUGUCUCCACCCGAGACUCAGUGAAAUUGAACUCGCUGUGAAGAUGCAGUGUACCCGCGGCAAGACGGAAAGACCCCGUGAACCUUUACUAUAGCUUGACACUGAACAUUGAGCCUUGAUGUGUAGGAUAGGUGGGAGGCUUUGAAGUGUGGACGCCAGUCUGCAUGGAGCCGACCUUGAAAUACCACCCUUUAAUGUUUGAUGUUCUAACGUGGACCCGUGAUCCGGGUUGCGGACAGUGUCUGGUGGGUAGUUUGACUGGGGCGGUCUCCUCCUAAAGAGUAACGGAGGAGCACGAAGGUUGGCUAAUCCUGGUCGGACAUCAGGAGGUUAGUGCAAUGGCAUAAGCCAGCUUGACUGCGAGCGUGACGGCGCGAGCAGGUGCGAAAGCAGGUCAUAGUGAUCCGGUGGUUCUGAAUGGAAGGGCCAUCGCUCAACGGAUAAAAGGUACUCCGGGGAUAACAGGCUGAUACCGCCCAAGAGUUCAUAUCGACGGCGGUGUUUGGCACCUCGAUGUCGGCUCAUCACAUCCUGGGGCUGAAGUAGGUCCCAAGGGUAUGGCUGUUCGCCAUUUAAAGUGGUACGCGAGCUGGGUUUAGAACGUCGUGAGACAGUUCGGUCCCUAUCUGCCGUGGGCGCUGGAGAACUGAGGGGGGCUGCUCCUAGUACGAGAGGACCGGAGUGGACGCAUCACUGGUGUUCGGGUUGUCAUGCCAAUGGCACUGCCCGGUAGCUAAAUGCGGAAGAGAUAAGUGCUGAAAGCAUCUAAGCACGAAACUUGCCCCGAGAUGAGUUCUCCCUGACCCUUUAAGGGUCCUGAAGGAACGUUGAAGACGACGACGUUGAUAGGCCGGGUGUGUAAGCGCAGCGAUGCGUUGAGCUAACCGGUACUAAUGAACCGUGAGGCUUAACCU
RNAcentral lists this ribosomal RNA (2899 nucleotides) under Escherichia coli O157:H7. Its description in RNAcentral is "bacterial LSU rRNA". It matches the Rfam family "Bacterial large subunit ribosomal RNA". The record is from RNAcentral. Lineage: Bacteria; Pseudomonadati; Pseudomonadota; Gammaproteobacteria; Enterobacterales; Enterobacteriaceae.